CUUGGUGAUUAGAGCGGUGUGGAAACACCUCUUCCCAUUCCGAACAGAGAAGUGAAACGCACCAGCGACGACGAUAGUUGGCCCGCAAGGACCCGCGAAAAUAGUUCAUUGCCAAGG
This 117-nucleotide ribosomal RNA is filed under the name Candidatus Woesebacteria bacterium. Lineage: Bacteria; Candidatus Woeseibacteriota. The record is from RNAcentral.